This 511-nucleotide ribosomal RNA is filed under the name uncultured bacterium. Its description in RNAcentral is "partial 16S ribosomal RNA". The record is from RNAcentral.
GGAGUUAGCCGGUGCUUCUUCUGCGAGUAACGUCACAGAUGUAAGGUAUUAACUUACACCCUUUCCUCCUCGCUGAAAGUGCUUUACAACCCGAAGGCCUUCUUCACACACGCGGCAUGGCUGCAUCAGGGUUUCCCCCAUUGUGCAAUAUUCCCCACUGCUGCCUCCCGUAGGAGUCUGGGCCGUGUCUCAGUCCCAGUGUGGCUGAUCAUCCUCUCAGACCAGCUAGGGAUCGUCGCCUAGGUGAGCCUUUACCUCACCUACUAGCUAAUCCCACCUGGGCUUAUCCAUCAGCGCAAGGCCCGAAGGUCCCCUGCUUUCCCCCGUAGGGCGUAUGCGGUAUUAGCAGUCGUUUCCAACUGUUAUCCCCCACAAAUGGGCAAAUUCCCAGGCAUUACUCACCCGUCCGCCGCUCGUCAUCUUCAAAAGCAAGCUUUUGAAAUGUUACCGCUCGACUUGCAUGUGUUAGGCCUGCCGCCACGCGUCAAUCUGAGCAUGAUACAACUACUGA